Molecule: ribosomal RNA, 1296 nt
Filed under: metagenome
Description: bacterial LSU rRNA
Rfam family: Bacterial large subunit ribosomal RNA
Source: RNAcentral
UACACGACCGUACCGCAAACCGACACUGGUGCGCGAGAUGAGUAUUCUAAGGCGCUUGAGAGAACUCAGGAGAAGGAACUCGGCAAAUUGACACCGUAACUUCGGAAGAAGGUGUGCCUUUAGUAGGUGAACCUGUACAAGGGGAGCCCAAUGAGGUUGCAAAAAAUCGGUGGCUGCGACUGUUUAAUAAAAACACAGCACUCUGCAAACACGAAAGUGGACGUAUAGGGUGUGACGCCUGCCCGGUGCUGGAAGAUUAAAUGAUGGGGUGCAAGCUCUUGAUUGAAGUCCCAGUAAACGGCGGCCGUAACGAUAACGGUCCUAAGGUAGCGAAAUUCCUUGUCGGGUAAGUUCCGACCUGCACGAAUGGCGUAACGAUGGCCACACUGUCUCCUCCUGAGACUCAGCGAAGUUGAAAUGUUUGUGAUGAUGCAAUCUCCCCGCGGAAAGACGGAAAGACCCCAUGAACCUUUACUGUAGCUUUGUAUUGGACUUUGAACAGAUCUGUGUAGGAUAGGUGGGAGGCUUUGAAGUGUGGUCGCUAGAUCGCAUGGAGCCAACGUUGAAAUACCACCCUGGUGUGUUUGAGGUUCUAACCUAGGCCCGUAAUCCGGGUCGGGGACAGUGCAUGGUAGGCAGUUUGACUGGGGCGGUCUCCUCCCAAAGCGUAACGGAGGAGUUCGAAGGUGCGCUAGGUACGGUCGGACAUCGUGCUAAUAGUGCAAUGGCAUAAGCGUGCUUAACUGCGAGACUGACAAGUCGAGCAGAUGCGAAAGCAGGACAUAGUGAUCCGGUGGUUCUGUAUGGAAGGGCCAUCGCUCAACGGAUAAAAGGUACUCUGGGGAUAACAGGCUGAUACCGCCCAAGAGUUCAUAUCGACGGCGGUGUUUGGCACCUCGAUGUCGGCUCAUCUCAUCCUGGGGCUGUAGCCGGUCCCAAGGGUAUGGCUGUUCGCCAUUUAAAGAGGUACGUGAGCUGGGUUUAAAACGUCGUGAGACAGUUUGGUCCCUAUCUUCCGUGGGCGCUGCAGAUUUGAGGAAGCCUGCUCCUAGUACGAGAGGACCGGAGUGGACACACCUCUGGUGUAUCGGUUGUCACGCCAGUGGCAUUGCCGAGUAGCUAUGUGGAAGAGAUAACCGCUGAAAGCAUCUAAGCGGGAAACUCGUUUCAAGAUGAGAUCUGCCGGGGCCUUGAGCCCCCUAAAGAGUCGUUCAAGACCAGGACGUUGAUAGGUCGGGUGUGGAAGCGCAGUAAUGCGUUAAGCUAACCGAUACUAAUUGCUCGUGCGGCUUGACC